CGGGAGCUUUCCAUGCAGUCGAACGGCAGCUUCGGAGAGCUUGCUCUCUUGGCGGCUAGUGCCGGACGGCUGAGUAAUAUAUCGGAACGUGCCCAGGAACGGGGGAUAUCUACUCGUAAGAGUGCCCCUUACCGCAUUCGCCCUACGGGGGAGCCCUGGGGAUCGCUGACCUCUCACUAUUGGAGCGGCCGAUAUCGGACUACCUUGUUGGUGGGGUAUAGGGUCACCAAGGCCACGAUCCGUAACUGGUUUGAGAUGACGACCAGCCAUGAUGGGACUGACAGACGGCCCAAACUCCUACGGGAGGCAGCAGUGGGGAAUUUUGGACAAUGGGGGAAACCCUGAUCCAGCCAUCCCGCGUGUAUGAUGAAGGCCUUCGGGUUGUAAAGUACUUUUGGCAGAGAAGAAAAGGUAUCCCCUAAUACGGGAUACUGCUGACGGUAUCUGCAGAAUUCCUGCGGCUAACUACGUGCCACCAGCCGCGGUAAUACUUGUUCGUGCUUACGUUAAUCGGAAUUACUGGGCGUAAAGCGUGUGUACGCGGUUCGGAUCGAAAGAUGUGAAAUCCCAAGGCUCAACCUUGGAACUGCAUCUUUUAACUGCCGAGCUAGAGUAUGUCAUAGGAGGGGUAGAAUUCCACGUCGUAGCAUUGAAAUGCGUAGAUAUGUGGAGGAAUACCGAUGGCGAACGCAUCCCCCUGCGAUAAUACUGACGCUCAGACACGAAAGCGUGUGGAGCACACUGGAUUACAUACCCUGAUACUACCACGCGCUAAACGAUGUCGAGUAGAUGCUUGGGGCCGUUAGGCUAUAGUAUCAGCAGCUUACGCGUGGAGGUGACCGUCUGGAGGAGUACGGUCCCAAGAUUAUGACUCAGACGAAUUGACGGGGACCCGCACAUGCGGUGGAUCGAUGUGGAUUAAUCGAUGCUACGCGACAUUCCUUNCCUAACCUUGACUUGGNUGGAA
RNAcentral lists this ribosomal RNA (967 nucleotides) under Alcaligenes faecalis. RNAcentral's name for it is "bacterial SSU rRNA". It matches the Rfam family "Bacterial small subunit ribosomal RNA", at positions 40 to 995 of the family's 1533-position model. The record is from RNAcentral. Lineage: Bacteria; Pseudomonadati; Pseudomonadota; Betaproteobacteria; Burkholderiales; Alcaligenaceae.